This 484-nucleotide ribosomal RNA is filed under the name uncultured bacterium. RNAcentral describes it as "partial 16S ribosomal RNA". It matches the Rfam family "Bacterial small subunit ribosomal RNA", at positions 30 to 507 of the family's 1533-position model. The record is from RNAcentral.
ACUGAACGCUGGCGGCAGGCCUAACACAUGCAAGUCGAGCGGAUGAAGGGAGCUUGCUCCUGGAUUCAGCGGCGGACGGGUGAGUAAUGCCUAGGAAUCUGCCUGGUAGUGGGGGAUAACGUCCGGAUACGGGCGCUAAUACCGCAUACGUCCUGAGGGAGAAAGUGGGGGAUCUUCGGACCUCACGCUAUCAGAUGAGCCUAGGUCGGAUUAGCUAGUUGGUGGGGUAAAGGCCUACCAAGGCGACGAUCCGUAACUGGUCUGAGAGGAUGAUCAGUCACACUGGAACUGAGACACGGUCCAGACCCCUACGGGAGGCAGCAGUGGGGAAUAGUGGACAAUGGGCGAAAGCCUGAUCCAGCCAUGCCGCGUGUGUGAAGAAGGUCUUCGGAUUGUAAAGCACUUUAAGUUGGGAGGAAGGGCAGUAAGUUAAUACCUUGCUGUUUUGACGUUACCAACAGAAUAAGCACCGGCUAACUUCGUG